UUUGCGGUAAAAAUACUUUCCGUCACUAUUGUGGAACUUCCGUAGGUACCUUUCCAUUUUCUGCCAUAUAAUAUGCCAAAUGGCAUGUCAUGUCAUUAAAAUAAAUGCCACAUCACUCCCACCAGUAACAAUAAAUAUUGCCACAUCAUAUACCUUAAAAAAACUAAUAAAAUAUUUUCAAAAAUAAAAAACACUAAUAAAAAAAAUAAAUUCAUGUAAAAAAAAAAACUAAAAUUAAUUACCACUCUCUUUCUCUUUCACCAUUUUCGUCUCCUGCUACCUCUCUUUCUCUCUCAAAAUAUCUCAAAGUCUCAACCCUAAAAUGGAAGAGACGAUCUGUACCCAGUGGGUAUGAAGACCAUUAAUGGCCAUUUCUCUAUGUCGCUGUUGAUGUUGAGGGUGGGCAUCAGAGUUUGGUGUGGGUGUUCGCCGACGGCUGGAGACGAGAAGUUCGACAUUGACGGUGCCGACUUCGACGGAAUCGGCAUCGACAGGCUAAGAAGAUCAAAGCCCUAAUUUUUUGUUGAAGCCUAGAUCUUCGUCUUAGUCCAGCACCACCGCUUCUUCAUCUCGUAUCUUCGUGUCAAUCCACCGGUGUUUCUUAUUCUUCUCUUCGUGUAUUGAUUUUUAAUUUUUAAUAUAUGGAUCUAAGUAAUAGCUAUCAUUUUUAGUUUAGGAUCUGAAAUUUUGUGUACUGUAUUAGUUUUGGUCUGUUUAUGGCUGCCCAAAAAUACUAAUAUAAUAGUUAUAAGUAUUUGAAUAAAUAUUUUAAUGUGGUCUGUUUAGUUUGGGAUUUAAAAUUUUGUGUACUGAAAUUUUGAAUAAGUAUUUUAAUGCGACUGUUUAUGGCUGCCCAA
Cannabis sativa is the source of this 857-nucleotide long non-coding RNA. RefSeq lists it as uncharacterized. Lineage: Eukaryota; Viridiplantae; Streptophyta; Magnoliopsida; Rosales; Cannabaceae. The record is from RefSeq and is a predicted model, not a curated record. The transcript has 2 exons.